This 594-nucleotide ribosomal RNA is filed under the name uncultured bacterium. Its description in RNAcentral is "bacterial SSU rRNA". It matches the Rfam family "Bacterial small subunit ribosomal RNA", at positions 912 to 1510 of the family's 1533-position model. The record is from RNAcentral.
GACGGGGGCCCGCACAAGCAGUGGAGUAUGUGGAUUAAUUCGAAGCAACGCGAAGAACCUUACCAGGUCUUGACAUCGUANGCAUAGCAUAGAGAUAUGUGAAAUCCCUUCGGGGACGUAUAGACAGGUGGUGCAUGGUUGUCGUCAGCUCGUGUCGUGAGAUGUUGGGUUAAGUCCCGCAACGAGCGCAACCCUUACUGUUAGUUGGUACGCAAGAGCACUCUAGCAGGACUGCCGUUGACAAAACGGAGGAAGGUGGGGAUGACGUCAAAUCAUCAUGCCCCUUAUGNCCUGGGCCUCACACGUACUACAAUGGCUGCCAACAGAGGGAAGCGAAGCAGUGAUGCAGAGCAAAUCCCCAAAAGCAGUCUUAGUUCGGAUUGCAGGCUGAAACUCGCCUGCAUGAAGUCGGAAUUGCUAGUAAUCGCAGAUCAGCAUGCUGCGGUGAAUACGUUCCCGGGCCUUGUACACACCGCCCGUCACGCCAUGGGAGUCGGUAACACCCGAAGCCUGUAGCCCAACCGCAAGGAGGACGCAGUCGAAGGUGGGGAUUGAUGACUGGGGUGAAGUCGUAACAAGGUAGCCGUAUCGGAA